RNAcentral lists this ribosomal RNA (917 nucleotides) under Salmonella enterica subsp. enterica serovar Ona. Its description in RNAcentral is "partial 23S ribosomal RNA". It matches the Rfam family "Bacterial large subunit ribosomal RNA", at positions 711 to 1547 of the family's 2925-position model. Lineage: Bacteria; Pseudomonadati; Pseudomonadota; Gammaproteobacteria; Enterobacterales; Enterobacteriaceae. The record is from RNAcentral.
AGACCCGAAACCCGGUGAUCUAGCCAUGGGCAGGUUGAAGGUUGGGUAACACUAACUGGAGGACCGAACCGACUAAUGUUGAAAAAUUAGCGGAUGACCUGUGGCUGGGGGUGAAAGGCCAAUCAAACCGGGAGAUAGCUGGUUCUCCCCGAAAGCUAUUUAGGUAGCGCCUCGUGAAUUCAUCUCCGGGGGUAGAGCACUGUUUCGGCUAGGGGGCCAUCCCGGCUUACCAACCCGAUGCAAACUGCGAAUACCGGAGAAUGUUAUCACGGGAGACACACGGCGGGUGCUAACGUCCGUCGUGAAGAGGGAAACAACCCAGACCGCCAGCUAAGGUCCCAAAGUCAUGGUUAAGUGGGAAACGAUGUGGGAAGGCCCAGACAGCCAGGAUGUUGGCUUAGAAGCAGCCAUCAUUUAAAGAAAGCGUAAUAGCUCACUGGUCGAGUCGGCCUGCGCGGAAGAUGUAACGGGGCUAAACCAUGCACCGAAGCUGCGGCAGCGAACGUAUCACUUAAAGUGAUUCAGCGGGUUACGAUUGACGGAGCGAAGCGACGUCAAAGCGUAUACAAAGUCGAGUCGGUUUAAGGAUACGUUCGUUGGGUAGGGGAGCGUUCUGUAAGCCUGUGAAGGUGGCCUGUGAGGGUUGCUGGAGGUAUCAGAAGUGCGAAUGCUGACAUAAGUAACGAUAAAGCGGGUGAAAAGCCCGCUCGCCGGAAGACCAAGGGUUCCUGUCCAACGUUAAUCGGGGCAGGGUGAGUCGACCCCUAAGGCGAGGCCGAAAGGCGUAGUCGAUGGGAAACGGGUUAAUAUUCCCGUACUUGGUGUUACUGCGAAGGGGGGACGGAGAAGGCUAUGUUGGCCGGGCGACGGUUGUCCCGGUUUAAGCGUGUAGGUGUGUGUUCCAGGUAAAUCCGGUU